UGGGGAAUAUUGGACAAUGGGCGAAAGCCUGAUCCAGCCAUGCCGCGUGUGUGAAGAAGGUCUUCGGAUUGUAAAGCACUUUAAGUUGGGAGGAAGGGCAGUUACCUAAUACGUAUCUGUUUUGACGUUACCGACAGAAUAAGCACCGGCUAACUCUGUGCCAGCAGCCGCGGUAAUACAGAGGGUGCAAGCGUUAAUCGGAAUUACUGGGCGUAAAGCGCGCGUAGGUGGUUUGUUAAGUUGGAUGUGAAAUCCCCGGGCUCAACCUGGGAACUGCAUUCAAAACUGACUAGGCUAGAGUAUGGUAGAGGGUGGUGGAAUUUCCUGUGUAGCGGUGAAAUGCGUAGAUAUAGGAAGGAACAC
RNAcentral lists this ribosomal RNA (363 nucleotides) under uncultured bacterium. RNAcentral describes it as "bacterial SSU rRNA". It matches the Rfam family "Bacterial small subunit ribosomal RNA", at positions 355 to 709 of the family's 1533-position model. The record is from RNAcentral.